This 29-nucleotide transfer RNA is filed under the name Sarcolobus pepo. RNAcentral describes it as "Gunnessia pepo partial tRNA-Phe". Lineage: Eukaryota; Viridiplantae; Streptophyta; Magnoliopsida; Gentianales; Apocynaceae. The record is from RNAcentral.
GUCGGGAUAGCUUCAGCUGGUAGAGCAGA